This 497-nucleotide ribosomal RNA is filed under the name uncultured bacterium. Its description in RNAcentral is "partial 16S ribosomal RNA". It matches the Rfam family "Bacterial small subunit ribosomal RNA", at positions 28 to 507 of the family's 1533-position model. The record is from RNAcentral.
GAUGAACGCUGGCGGCGUGCCUAAUACAUGCAAGUCGAGCGAACGGACGAGAAGCUUGCUUCUCUGAUGUUAGCGGCGGACGGGUGAGUAACACGUGGAUAACCUACCUAUAAGACUGGGAUAACUUCGGGAAACCGUAGCUAAUACCGGAUAAUAUUUUGAACCGCAUGGUUCAAAAGUGAAAGACGGUCUUGCUGUCACUUAUAGAUGGAUCCGCGCUGCAUUAGCUAGUUGGUAAGGUAACGGCUUACCAAGGCAACGAUGCAUAGCCGACCUGAGAGGGUGAUCGGCCACACUGGAACUGAGACACGGUCCAGACUCCUACGGGAGGCAGCAGUAGGGAAUCUUCCGCAAUGGGCGAAAGCCUGACGGAGCAACGCCGCGUGAGUGAUGAAGGUCUUCGGAUCGUAAAACUCUGUUAUUAGGGAAGAACAUAUGUGUAAGUAACUGUGCACAUCUUGACGGUACCUAAGCAGAAAGCCACGGCUAACGACGGG